RNAcentral lists this ribosomal RNA (253 nucleotides) under uncultured bacterium. RNAcentral's name for it is "partial 16S ribosomal RNA". It matches the Rfam family "Bacterial small subunit ribosomal RNA", at positions 524 to 776 of the family's 1533-position model. The record is from RNAcentral.
UACGUAGGGGGCUAGCGUUGUCCGGAUUUAUUGGGCGUAAAGAGCGUGUAGGCGGCCAGGUAGGUCUGCUGUGAAAACUCGAGGCUCAACCUCGAGACGUCGAUGGAAACCAUCUGGCUAGAGUUCGGAAGAGGCGAGUGGAAUUCCCGGUGUAGCGGUGAAAUGCGCAGAUAUCGGGAGGAACACCUAUGGCGAAGGCAGCUCGCUGGGAUGUUACUGACGCUGAGACGCGAAAGCGUGGGGAGCAAACAGG